This 448-nucleotide ribosomal RNA is filed under the name uncultured bacterium. RNAcentral's name for it is "bacterial SSU rRNA". It matches the Rfam family "Bacterial small subunit ribosomal RNA", at positions 330 to 793 of the family's 1533-position model. The record is from RNAcentral.
UCCAGACUCCUGCGGGAGGCAGCAGUGGGGAAUAUUGCACAAUGGGGGAAACCCUGAUGCAGCGACGCCGCGUGAGCGAUGAAGUAUUUCGGUAUGUAAAGCUCUAUUAGCAGGGAAGAAGAUGACGGUACCUGACUAAGAAGCCCCGGCUAACUACGUGCCAGCAGCCGCGGUAAUACGUAGGGGGCAAGCGUUAUCCGGAUUCACUGGGUGUAAAGGGAGCGUAGACGGCCAUGCAAGCCUGGAGUGAAAGCCCGGGGCCCAACCCCGGGACUGCUCUGGGAACUGUGCGGCUGGAGUGCGGGAGGGGCAGGCGGAAUUCCUGGUGUAGCGGUGAAAUGCGUAGAUAUCAGGAGGAACACCGGCGGCGAAGGCGGCCUGCUGGACCGCGACUGACGUUGAGGCUCGAAAGCGUGGGGAGCAAACAGGAUUAGAUACCCUAGUAUUG